UUAAGUUCAGCGGGUAAUCCUGCCUGAUCUGAGGUCUCAUCUUGGAUUCGACUAGAUCGUCGGGGGUUCGAAGCUUCCAGCUUUUCCAGUUCAGCCAUAACGCCCUUUUUUAACGGGGUGCCAUGUCCUCAGCGAAUAGUCUAUUACGCCGAGUCGAUCUGAUCUCGAAGAUUAGGAUGCUAAUGUAUUACGAACGAGCU
Molecule: unclassified non-coding RNA, 200 nt
Filed under: Microbotryum sp.
Lineage: Eukaryota; Fungi; Basidiomycota; Microbotryomycetes; Microbotryales; Microbotryaceae
Description: partial internal transcribed spacer 2
Source: RNAcentral